GACGAACGCUGGCGGCGUGCUUAACACAUGCGAGUCGAACGGAAAGGCCCCUUUGGGGGUCCUCGAGUGGCGAACGGGUGAGUAACACGUGAGUAACCUGCCCUUGACUUCGGGAUAACUUCAGGAAACUGGGGCUAAUACCGGAUAGGAAUCCUUGCUGCAUGGUGGGGGUUGGAAAGCUUCGGCGGUUUUGGAUGGACUCGCGGCUUAUCAGCUUGUUGGUGGGGUAGUGGCUUACCAAGGCUUUGACGGGUAGCCGGCCUGAGAGGGCGACCGGCCACAUUGGGACUGAGGUACGGCCCAGACUCCUACGGGAGGCAGCAGUGGGGAAUAUUGCACAAUGGGCGGAAGCCUGAUGCAGCAACGCCGCGUGCGGGAUGACGGCCUUCGGGUUGUAAACCGCUUUCAGCAGGGGCGAAGCUUGUGGUGACGGUACCUGCAGAAGAAGCACCGGCUAACUACGUG
RNAcentral lists this ribosomal RNA (465 nucleotides) under uncultured bacterium. RNAcentral's name for it is "partial 16S ribosomal RNA". It matches the Rfam family "Bacterial small subunit ribosomal RNA", at positions 28 to 507 of the family's 1533-position model. The record is from RNAcentral.